GUGCUCGCUUUGGCAGCACAUAUACUAAAACUGGACCGGUACAGAGAAGACUAACAUGGCCCCUGCGCAAGGAUGACACACACAUUUGUGAAGCAUUCCAUAUUAAA
Ochotona princeps (American pika) is the source of this 107-nucleotide small nuclear RNA. The record is from Ensembl. Lineage: Eukaryota; Metazoa; Chordata; Mammalia; Lagomorpha; Ochotonidae.